Molecule: transfer RNA, 46 nt
Filed under: Ancylostoma duodenale
Lineage: Eukaryota; Metazoa; Nematoda; Chromadorea; Rhabditida; Ancylostomatidae
Rfam family: tRNA
About the family: Transfer RNA (tRNA) molecules are approximately 80 nucleotides in length. Their secondary structure includes four short double-helical elements and three loops (D, anti-codon, and T loops).
Source: Rfam by way of RNAcentral
GGGGGUAUAGCUCAGUGGCAGAGCAUUCGACUGCAGAUCGAGAGGU